ACCUCCCACCCGUGUUUAUUUUACCUUGUUGCUUCGGCGGGCCCGCCUUAACUGGCCGCCGGGGGGCUUACGCCCCCGGGCCCGCGCCCGCCGAAGACACCCUCGAACUCUGUCUGAAGAUUGAAGUCUGAGUGAAAAUAUAAAUUAUUUAAAACUUUCAACAACGGAUCUCUUGGUUCCGGCAUCGAUGAAGAACGCAGCGAAAUGCGAUACGUAAUGUGAAUUGCAAAUUCAGUGAAUCAUCGAGUCUUUGAACGCACAUUGCGCCCCCUGGUAUUCCGGGGGGCAUGCCUGUCCGAGCGUCAUUGCUGCCCUCAAGCCCGGCUUGUGUGUUGGGCCCCGUCCCCCGAUCUCCGGGGGACGGGCCCGAAAGGCAGCGGCGGCACCGCGUCCGGUCCUCGAGCGUAUGGGGCUUUGUCACCCGCUCUGUAGGCCCGGCCGGCGCUUGCCGAUCAACCCAAAUUUUUAUCCAGGUUGACCUCGGAUCAGGUAGGGAUACCCGCUGAACUUAAGCAUAUCAAUAAGAGGAGGA
RNAcentral lists this ribosomal RNA (532 nucleotides) under Penicillium crustosum. Its description in RNAcentral is "eukaryotic LSU rRNA". The stretch from base 153 to 305 matches the Rfam family "5.8S ribosomal RNA". Lineage: Eukaryota; Fungi; Ascomycota; Eurotiomycetes; Eurotiales; Aspergillaceae. The record is from RNAcentral.